UCCAUUAUCUCUCUUUCUUUCUUCAAUCUUCUUCUUCUUCUGUUCCCUGGAGAACCAUUAACAAUCGCCUUUGUACUAACACCACCAUCAACAACAACGUCAAAAACAACCAAAUCUCUGUUACAAUCAAUAAACCGUCGAUUAGAUUUCAUACCUUCCUUCAUGAAACAAGGUUCAGUAAAUUUUGAGUUCUAGAUUUAGGUUUUUUAAUGGGUUUUCAAAGUUUUGAAGUUAAUGAUUUCGAGUGAAAUAGUGAUUGAUCGAGUGGAUUUUAAGUUUUUUUGGAGAUGAUUAGGUGUUAUUGAAGGAAGAACACAAAUUUCAGAGAGGUUGAAUCUCUUUCUCCAUCAAAGGGAGCUUCAAUAAAGAUCAUGGUGAUUCAAAACGAUAACUUCUUUAAACCCAAUUCCAUUUUUCAUUGCAUAGUCACAUCUAUGUUGUCUAAUUUUUGUUUAAUCGAAAUAUUGAAUUUAGGAUUCUGUAAAAUUCAUUUUAGGGUUUUGAGAGUUGGGAACUCUGUUUGAAACGUGAAUUUUUUAGGAGGAAGGGGAGAAUGAGAAUUUCGACAGUGUAAUUAAGACGAAGAAGAUGAGGGGAAACAGGGGGAGUUUAUGAGAUUAAUGGCUUAAGAAAAAAACAGAUUCAGAAGAUUCAGAUACAAGGUGGCAGGAGAGCAAAGAGAAGAAUUGUGCUAGUGGAAGUACAAGUAGAAGAAGAAGCAGAAGAACACCACCUCCACAUUCUUUUUCUGUGGAGAAUAAAGAUGUCUGUGGAGACACUUUUUCCAUUUAUAUUUUGAUUUACAAUUACAAUUUAUAUCCUUAUUUUUCUGUGAUUUUUUGUUUAUGAGAUUAAUUAUUUGUUGUCAAUAAGUAGGGGAAAGAAGAGGAGUUUUUAAGAUGUCACCAAUGUGUUGGUUUGAAAUACAAAGGGGUGGUUGUUUGUUGCAAAAAUUGUGAAGUUAAACAGUAAUAGAGAAGUUGAUCUAAUAUGAACUAAUUUAUGUUUUUAUGUUCAUGGUGCACAGGUAUCCUGGGCAUACAACUGAAGUGAUUGCAGAGUCUUUCCCAUUUUGUCGUGGAAGCUAUAAUUGCAAAACCAUGAUUGCAUUUUGGCAACAUGUCUAAGGAUUUGAAGAGCCAGAAAAUGAAGAUGGAGGCAGAAGAGAGACUUAAAUAUUAUAAAUAUUUGUUACAAGCACUUUUACCAGUCUUAAGUCAAAUCCACGAAGAGCAAGUAAUGGAAAAGGAGAUCGAGGCAAAGAUUCAAUGUGCCUGGCUUAAGCUUGUUCAUCAUUCACCCUUUUUAUAUUGUCCGUUUUUGAGUUAAGCAAUAUGUUCUUUACUUAGAAUAAAUAUUCUCCAAGAUCAAAGUAAUGUAUGUUGAAAAGUGUUGGGUUAGGCUCAUGCUUUUUUUAUAUCAGUCAACUGUUUAUGGUCUUUCCAGUUAUUUGUAGUUAUCUCACUACCUUCAUGUUCUUUUAUCUAGAAAAUAGGCCUUACAGUUGAGAGUGUACGAGACUGCAAUCGAGUUGUUGUACGUCUUCCUUCCUACACAAAGGCCUGGUAUAGGAGAGGGAUGGCAAAUUCUUCUAUGGGAAACUACGAGGAUGCAAUCCAGGAUCUAGAUAUGCCAUGAACAUGGAACUUUCCUAGGGUGGAAACAGUAAUAUAAAAGAGGAACUUGAGAUAAUUAAAACACAAAGUCGCGGAGUAAAAAACUCACCUAAGAAGGCCAGCAAUAUGAAUUGUAGCUCCAUUGAAGGUGGUUCACAUAAUGCAGCCGCGUCAUAGCCAAGCAUUUUUUUUCUUUUGCCUCGCCCUAAAGAUUGAAUUAUAAUUGUUGAUAUGAUAGUAGGGCCACUUCCCUGUUCAUUAUGUUCAAUGACACUGUACUGUUCCCAGUAUUUCCAAAAGCAAGCAAUUGGUCAAAAGCCUGGGACUGAUCUAAACGGUAAUCCUACUUCAGGAAAUGUAUCGACUGACCUUAAGCGAUAUGUUGAGAGGAUCUCAUUGGAGAACAAUUCUGGGCACCCUGUUGCUGAUUCAAAUCCUACCUGGGUGGCUGCACACAGAUAUGUAUGUGGCGGUGUACAUUGGCCAGCAGUUUUACCUGCUGAAAUAGUUUUGGCAGGUCGAUUUCUAGUAAAAGAAAUAGAGAAGAGGAAGUACUCCAAGGGGGCUAUGGAUUCACCCGAAGCUUUGCUAUCUUAUGCAGAUGAAGUUUCACUGAGUGGGUUUUCGCAGAAACACAGAUGACAGAUGAGAUUAAUGAGAAGAUUGAGAACAUGAAGCAGGUUCAGGGAGCGUUGUGAAACCCCAUUGGAGCAGCUGCUGACUUUGGAUGAAUUGGAAUCUGAACUCGAGGAGUUGGAAGGAGCUGAGUUGGAGGAACAACUUUUACAACCUGCAACCAUGGUAAUCAUGUUAUGAUGAAAAAGCUUUGACGAAGAAGAUUUUGCACAAGUAGUUGCAGCUUCACCACCUGCAACUCUACCAUCUACAGUUCACAGUUGAUAGUCAAAAGUUCCAGCUGGAGUGAUCAAAGCUUAACCAACUAAUGAAAGCUUAAGGGAUUGAAUGGUUGGCUCCAUUUGGGGUUCUAAUAAUCUUUCGAGGGGUUUCCCGUUGGUGUUUCUCCGACUACUUGAGAUGUUGGAAGGACAAGAGGGCUUAUACCCCAGAAAGCAUAUUCAAGCGAGAGGUUCUACCAUUAAAUGGCAUCCAUUAGCUCCCUUUGUAGCUGCAAGUUUUGAGUAACUUUCUGCUUAUAGUGAUUUAGAGAAUGAACUGAACUUAGGAACUUAGUAGGUUUCUAUGACUUUCCUCAGAAUUUGAUACUUAACAAUAACAUAUCUUUUUGGUACUUAAUAGAAUUUCUAUUCUUUUUGAAUUUUUAUUCUUCUUUGAAUUGAUUGAAUGUUGAUAUGAAUUGAUUGAAAAAAAUAUUGAAUGUAGAUUAUGGAUAAAUGAAAGAUGUAUGUAGGAUAUUUGGAAUGCCAGGCGUAUUUCCGGCAGA
Molecule: long non-coding RNA, 3018 nt
Organism: Papaver somniferum (opium poppy)
Lineage: Eukaryota; Viridiplantae; Streptophyta; Magnoliopsida; Ranunculales; Papaveraceae
Exons: 10
Source: RefSeq, a predicted model, not a curated record